This 775-nucleotide ribosomal RNA is filed under the name uncultured Neocallimastigales. RNAcentral's name for it is "partial large subunit ribosomal RNA". It matches the Rfam family "Eukaryotic large subunit ribosomal RNA", at positions 24 to 647 of the family's 3401-position model. Lineage: Eukaryota; Fungi; Neocallimastigomycota; Neocallimastigomycetes; Neocallimastigales. The record is from RNAcentral.
UAUGUGAUCGUCUCUCGCAUAUCAAUAAGCGGAGGAAAAGAAACUAACAAGGAUUCCCCUAGUAACGGCGAGUGAAGCGGGAAGAGCUCAAAUUUGAAAUCUUAAAGGGUUUCCCUUUACGAAUUGUAGUUUAAAGAAGUGUUUUCUGUUUAGGUUUUGGUAAAAGUUCUUUGGAAUAGGACAUCAUAGAGGGUGAGAAUCCCGUAUUUGACCUUUACUUUCAACUUUGUGAUACACUUUCAAAGAGUCGGAUUGUUUGGGAAUGCAGUCCAAAAUGGGUGGUAAAUUUCAUCUAAAGCUAAAUAUUGGCGAGAGACCGAUAGCGAACAAGUACCGUGAGGGAAAGAUGAAAAGAACUUUGAAAAGAGAGUUAAACAGUACGUGAAAUUGUCAAAAGGGAAGCGUUUGACACCAGUGUUGUUUUUCUGAAAAUCAAUUAAAGAACUGUUUAUGCUAAGCUGUUUAGACUUUAUCAGCUAAUCUGUUUAGUUUUGAGCUUUUCUUUAAUGCACUUUUCAGUUAACAAGUCAACAUCAAUUUCUUUUGCUGUAAAAAAGCUUGAGGAAGGUGGCUUGAGAUUCGUCUUAAGUGUUUAUAGCCUCUUGCCUAUGCAGUCGGAGAGAUUGAGGUCUGCAGCGUAGAUCCUUCGGGGCUAAAUGCAUUUGUGCUAAGUUAUAGCAUUUUAUAGACAACUUGUUGACUAUGAUUUGUCUUGUAGCUUACUCGCUUAUGUUAUUUUACCUACGCUUAGGAUGUUGACGAGACUGUCGAUCUC